CAGCCACUCCCAUCAACAGCCAACAAGAAGGCAGAAGCCCUAAUCUCUCUAGUCUCUCCCGUCAUUUUCUCUCAAAACCCAACAUCGAAUGUCCGCACUCCAGUCGAUGGUAGUCUAGUUGAGUAUGUAUAUUUCGUUAUUUUUCUAUUCAUAUUUUCUUAUUUCCUUAUUAUUAUUAUUAUUAGAAAUGCAGAAACUGCAAUCUUCAAUAAACUUCAGAAAUUAAGAAUUGCUUGGACAUUCUCAAUUGUGGGUGUGUUUUGAUCGACUAAAAGGUAAAUCUAUCUUUGCAUUCGCAAGUCCCUUGUAGAGAAUAGGUGUCAUGUCGAAUCUGAUUAGAUAAUUUCUGGUUUACAAAUUUAAGGGGAUGUCAUGACUUAAUAUGGAUUUAGGCUCGUGAAUUUUAGAGGCCUUUUGAUUUUCUUGAGGUUGUCAGUAGUUGAUUCCUGGAGGCUAGUACUAGAGAUGAAGUUUGGUUUCAUUAUAAUUUGAGAUCCUUAGAUUUUAGGACAGUGGGAAAGAGAAGUCUGGAAUGGGAUCCAAUUAUUGGAAAUGGGAUGGGGAUCUUUUUGAUUUAUGUGCUAGUUAAACUAAUAACUAGUCACUUUGUUUCAACUUGCAUUAUGUGCUUAAUUACAGUUGACAUGUACCUAGAAUUUUAGGUGGCCUGAAUUUGCAAAAUUGUUGUAUUGCAGCCACAUAUGUUGUAUUUAGAAAAUGGACACAGUCACAGGUGCUGUAUUCUUAUCUUGUUGUAUUGCAUUGCUAUUUUUAAUAAAAUAAAUCUAUUUGGUUAUUUUGUAAUUUUGUUGGAAUAUGUUUGUAGGUAUGGAUGAAUGUAAAUUACAUGGCAUAGAAACUCCAUCAAAUGACACAAAUUUGCAAGUAAAUCUUCCUCCAUUUGCACCGUCAACAUUAGGUAAACAAAAAUCUAAUAAUUAGAUUCAUAUGUUUGGGAUCACUUACGGUUUUGGGAUCAAGGGAUGAUCCAGAUGUUAGGUGUAAAUGUAACUACUGUGGGGGUAGAUUAUGCUUGUGACACUAAGGAGUGUGGUACUAGCACAUUGGGCAAUCAUUUGACAAAUCAAUGUAAGAAGUAUUCUGGUAGAUUGGUUGAUAAGAAGCAAAAAAUACUUUCUUUUAAGAACAAAAAAGAGGGUGGUGGGAGCAAUCUUGUUGUUGUUGGUCGAAGUAAAGAACAGUGUAGAGUUGCAUGUGUUAAGAUGGUUGUGUUGGAUGAAUUACCUUUUAGGUUUGUUGAAGGUCAGGGUUUUAGGUUCUUUUGUACUGUAGUCCGUCCUCAAUUUCGGGCUCCAUCUUGAAGGACUCUCGUUAAAGACAACUAUCAAUUGUAUUUAGAUGAAAAAUUGAAAUUGAGAGAUGUUUUUUUUUUCACCGUCAAAGGGUUUCUCUCACAACCGAUACUUGGACUUCCAUUCAAAAUGUUAAUUACAUGUUUCUUGCAACACAUUUUAUUGAUUCUAAUUGGACGCUUAAUAAGUGUAUUUUGAGUUUUUGUACCAUUCCAAAUCACAAGGGAGAAACGAUUAGGAAAAUGAUUGAGACUUGUUUACAAGAUUGGGGAAUUGAGAAAGUUUUUACAAUCACCAUUGAUAAUGCAAGCUCUAAUGAUGUGGCUAGCGCUUAUCUUAGGAGGACGUUGAUUGCUUGGGUAGUAAUUGAUGUAUUCUAGAUGGGAGAUAUUUGCAACUCGGGUGCUGUGCACAUAUUAUAAAUUUGAUUGUUUGUGAAGGGUUAAGGGAAGUACAUGACUCCAUUGUGAAUAUCAAAUAUGCAAUCAAAUAUGGGAAAUAUCUUCCUGCUACGUAUGAAAAACUGAAGGAGUGUGCAAGAAAAGAGAAGAUUGAUUGCAAAUCUAUUGUAUUUUUGGAUCUUCCAACUAGGUGGAAUUCUAUUUAUUUGAUGUUGGAAACGGCAUUGAAAUUUGAGAAAGCUUUCGAUAGGUUAGAAGAAGAGGAUGAUCAACAUUUGCAGUACUUUCGAGAAGACGAUUGUGGUGGAAAGAGAGGUGGACCUCCUUCAAAUUUAGAUUGGGAAAAUGGAUCUGUGUUUGUCAAGUUUCUGAAAAAAACUUUGAUGUGACUUUGACUUUUAGUUCUUCAUUGCGUGUUAGUGCUUGUGCUUAUUUUCAUGAAAUUUGUAAUCUUAUAAUUGAAUUGGAUGAAUGAAGAUUAAGUGGUAAAUUUUUUAUUGUGUAAAAUGGCAACUAACAUGAAGAAGAAGUUUGAAAAGUAUUGGGGUAAAAUGGAAAAUGUGAAUCAGUUGUUGCUCAUUGUUAUCAUCAUUGAUCCAAGAUAUAAAAUGAAUUAUGUUGAAAACUGUUUUAGUGAUCUAUACAUGGAUAGGGAAGUUGUUAGUAACAUGAUGAAAUCUUUGAAAGACAAUUUAAUGGAUAUUUAUGAGUGGUAUGUGGCUUGUGAAAGUGUUCGUGGAAGUAUUCAAGUAUCAACUGAUGAGUCUUUGAGUUUUUUAAGUACAAAUAAAGACAGUGCUUCUUCUAUGAGUGAUACUAGUCUUUCUAGAUUUUUGAAAAAACAAGCUAUAAAAGAUUGUGCUGAAAUAAAAAAUGAUGUGGAA
This 2598-nucleotide long non-coding RNA is filed under the name Olea europaea subsp. europaea. The record is from RNAcentral. Lineage: Eukaryota; Viridiplantae; Streptophyta; Magnoliopsida; Lamiales; Oleaceae.